GACGGAGGGGGCAAGCGUUGUCCGGACUCACUGGGCGUAAAGGGUGCGUAGGCGGUUGUCUGCGUCCGCGCUGAAAUCUCACAGCUUAACUGUGGGGCGCGUGCGGAUACGAGAUAACUAGAGGCAUGGAGAGGACAGGGGAAUUCCUGGUGUAGUGGUGAAAUGCGUAGAUAUCAGGAGGAACACCUGUGGCGUAAGCGCCUGUCUGGCCAUGACCUGACGCUGUGGCACGAAAGCGUGGGGAGCAAACAGG
RNAcentral lists this ribosomal RNA (253 nucleotides) under uncultured bacterium. RNAcentral's name for it is "partial 16S ribosomal RNA". It matches the Rfam family "Bacterial small subunit ribosomal RNA", at positions 524 to 776 of the family's 1533-position model. The record is from RNAcentral.